UACGAGGGGGGCGAGCGUUGUUCGGAAUUAUUGGGCGUAAAGAGCUCGUAGGCGGUCUGUCGCGUCGGCUGUGAAAACUCGGGGCUCAACUCCGAGCUUGCAGUCGAUACGGGCAGGCUAGAGUUCGGCAGGGGAGACUGGAAUUCCUGGUGUAGCGGUGAAAUGCGCAGAUAUCAGGAGGAACACCGGUGGCGAAGGCGGGUCUCUGGGCCGAUACUGACGCUGAGGAGCGAAAGCGUGGGGAGCGAACAGG
This 253-nucleotide ribosomal RNA is filed under the name uncultured bacterium. RNAcentral describes it as "partial 16S ribosomal RNA". It matches the Rfam family "Bacterial small subunit ribosomal RNA", at positions 524 to 776 of the family's 1533-position model. The record is from RNAcentral.